This 474-nucleotide ribosomal RNA is filed under the name uncultured bacterium. RNAcentral describes it as "partial 16S ribosomal RNA". It matches the Rfam family "Bacterial small subunit ribosomal RNA", at positions 28 to 496 of the family's 1533-position model. The record is from RNAcentral.
GAUGAACGCUGGCGGCGUGCCUAAUACAUGCAAGUCGAGCGCCCCUUUAUGAGCAGACAAGUUUAUUGUCUUUUCUUAUGGGGAGCGGCGGACGGCUGAGUAACGCGUAGGAACGUACCCCAAAGUGAGGGAUAAGCACCAGAAAUGGUGUCUAAUACCGCAUGUGGUCUUCGGAUUAAAGCUUCGGCGCUUUGGGAGCGGCCUGCGUAAGAUUAGCUUGUUGGUGAGGUAACGGCUCACCAAGGCGACGAUCUUUAGCUGGUCUGAGAGGAUGAUCAGCCAGACUGGGACUGAGAACGGCCCAGACUCCUACGGGAGGCAGCAGUGGGGAAUAUUGGACAAUGGGCGAAAGCCUGAUCCAGCCAUGCCGCGUGUGUGAAGAAGGUCUUCGGAUUGUAAAGCACUUUAAGUUGGGAGGAAGGUCUGUAAGCUAAUAUCUUGCAGUCUUGACGUUACCAACAGAAUAAGCACCGG